GUACUACCUGGCAGAGGAAACACCAUUACCACAUGAUCACCAGGCUUUUUGUGGGCUAAGAGGUGGUUUCCCCAGAGUGAGACCUGUCCCUUGCACUCCCAGCACACUGACCCCUGCGAUUUAUCCAAAUGCAGGAAACGCAACUGCACAAUUUUGUGGCAGAUGGGGACUGCUUUCCCUGU
Molecule: small nuclear RNA, 182 nt
Filed under: Crocodylus porosus (Australian saltwater crocodile)
Lineage: Eukaryota; Metazoa; Chordata; Crocodylia; Crocodylidae
Description: U1 spliceosomal RNA (ENSCPRG00005018794.1)
Rfam family: U1 spliceosomal RNA
About the family: U1 is a small nuclear RNA (snRNA) component of the spliceosome (involved in pre-mRNA splicing). Its 5' end forms complementary base pairs with the 5' splice junction, thus defining the 5' donor site of an intron.
Source: RNAcentral